This 384-nucleotide long non-coding RNA is filed under the name Carica papaya (papaya). RNAcentral describes it as "long non-coding RNA (CPAP_LNC009348)". The record is from RNAcentral. Lineage: Eukaryota; Viridiplantae; Streptophyta; Magnoliopsida; Brassicales; Caricaceae.
CUGGAAGCCGCACCACAAGCGGCAACACGCUACUUGAGGUAAACGAUGGCACACUGCUCGAGGCAACAGUGGCCUCACCUGCCUAGCACGCGUUGCAGGCCUAGCCUGCAGGCGCUGGGCUACCCUGCCGCACUAGGGCACCACACGCAGGCCUAUUCAUGCAGGCGUGCUGCGCGGAUGGACCGAGCAUGUGUGCAUCGCCUACCUGGCCACGCGGGAAUAGGUCCUGCCUGUGCGCAACAGGAUGCGGGCACAGGCCUGUCCUCUGUGCCGCAUGAGAUAGGACUUGCGCACUGGGUGCACGUCCUGUGCCUGCGCGGGCAGCCUAUUUCAGUGGGAUUUUCCCUCCCUAUUUUUCAUUUUGUUUGAAAAUCGUUUAUUUUA